GACGAACGCUGGCGGCGUGCUUAACACAUGCAAGUCGAACGGAAAGGCCCUGCUUUUGUGGGGUGCUCGAGUGGCGAACGGGUGAGUAACACGUGAGUAACCUGCCCUUGACUUUGGUAUAACUUCAGGACACUGGGGCUAAUACCGGAUAGGAGCUCCUGCUGCAUGGUGGGUGUUGGAAAGUUUCGGCGGUUGGGGAUGGACUCGCGGCUUAUCAGCUUGUUGGUGGGGUAGUGGCUUACCAAGGCUUUGACGGGUAGCCGGCCUGAGAGGGUGACCGGCCACAUUGGGACUGAGAUACGGCCCAGACUCCUACGGGAGGCAGCAGGGGGGAAUAUGGCACAAUGGGCGGAAGCCUGAUGCAGCAACGCCGCGUGCGGGAGGACGGCCUUCGGGUUGUAAACCGCUUUCGCCUGUGACGAAGCGUGAGUGACGGUAAUGGGUAAAGAAGCACCGGCUAACUACGUG
This 468-nucleotide ribosomal RNA is filed under the name uncultured bacterium. Its description in RNAcentral is "partial 16S ribosomal RNA". It matches the Rfam family "Bacterial small subunit ribosomal RNA", at positions 28 to 507 of the family's 1533-position model. The record is from RNAcentral.